AUUGAACGCUGGCGGCAUGCCUUACACAUGCAAGUCGAACGGCAGCACGGGUGCUUGCACCUGGUGGCGAGUGGCGAACGGGUGAGUAAUACAUCGGAACGUACCUUAUCGUGGGGGAUAACGCAGCGAAAGCUGUGCUAAUACCGCAUACGCGCUGAGGGGGAAAGCGGGGGAUCGCAAGACCUCGCGAGAUUCGAGUGGGCGCUGCCUGAGUAGCUUGUUGGUGGGGUAAAAGCCCACCAAGGCGACGAUCAGUAGCUGGUCUGAGAGGACGAUCAGCCACACUGGGACUGAGACACGGCCCAGACUCCUACGGGAGGCAGCAGUGGGGAAUUUUGGACAAUGGGGGCAACCCUGAUCCAGCAAUGCCGCGUGAGUGAAGAAGGCCUUCGGGUUGUAAAGCUCUUUUGUCAGGGAAGAAACACCGGCUCUAACACAGUCUGGGAAUGACGGUACCUGAAGAAUAAGCACCGGCUAACUACGUGCCAGCCGCCGCAGUAA
This 501-nucleotide ribosomal RNA is filed under the name uncultured bacterium. RNAcentral describes it as "partial 16S ribosomal RNA". It matches the Rfam family "Bacterial small subunit ribosomal RNA", at positions 29 to 523 of the family's 1533-position model. The record is from RNAcentral.